Molecule: transfer RNA, 76 nt
Filed under: Limnoglobus roseus
Lineage: Bacteria; Pseudomonadati; Planctomycetota; Planctomycetia; Gemmatales; Gemmataceae
Description: tRNA-Asp
Rfam family: tRNA
About the family: Transfer RNA (tRNA) molecules are approximately 80 nucleotides in length. Their secondary structure includes four short double-helical elements and three loops (D, anti-codon, and T loops).
Source: RNAcentral
GCCCUUGCAGAGUAGCCAGGAGUACUCGCCACCCUGUCACGGUGGAGACCGCGGGUUCAAAUCCCGCCAGGGGCGC